AGAAGAAGAAGAAGAAUCCAGCGCUACACCGUAACCAGAGCACAGUUAGCAUGUGUUGUUGUGCUAACGUAAGAAGAUGUAAUGUUAGAAAAUAUGUCAGCGUUUAGUUUGGUUCUUCUUCUUUGACUCUUACAUGACUACAAGCUACAACACCAACCACGUUUGUUGUCGACCGCCAUUAAAAACCAAAGAAAACUCUUGGAUGUGUGUUAAGAUGUCCGGGUUUCAGGAUCUUAAAAGAUUUCUUCAGAUGGUUAUCAGAGAUAUAUCAAAAACAACAACAUGUGGAUACGACAAAGAAAAGUGCUGGAUGUGAUUUUAACACCUGAAAUCAAGCUGCAGAGAGCAGCAGCUUCAAGAACAUCUUCAAGGACUGAAGGAGGCUGAUACCACCAUGUUCCCCUUCACUCCAACCUGAGACUGAAGACAGAAAAGAUGAUUUGAAGGAGACAAAAGAACAUCUGUCAGAUUCCAACACUGUGGAAAAGAUCAGAAACAAAAUAACUGAGACUGAUCAGAAAUCACAUAGCUGCUCUGAGUGUGGUAAAACAUUAAAAAGGAAACUGAAUCUGACCAGACACAUUAGAAUUUACACAGGAGAGAACCCCUUCCGCUGCUCUGUUUGCUGUGUAAGAUUUAACCAAAAGGUGCAUUUGUCCAGACACAUGUUGGUUCACACAAGAGAGAAACCCUUAUGCUGCUCUGACUACGGUAAAAUAUUUAACCAUAAGCAAACUCUGAAACUUCACAUGGCACGCCGAAGAGUUCAGAAACUUCUCAGCUGCUCUGUUUCUGACCAAAGAUUGUCUUCGUCUUAUCAGUUAAAAGAAGACAAGUGUGUUGGAGGUCAGGCUUUAGAGUUUAAUCAAAAUCAAACUGAGGAGAAAAGAGAGGUAGAAACUGGAGUUGAUGGAGAGGACUGUGGAGGAGCAGAACCAGAGAGGGACUCAGAUCCAGAGAGACGUUUACAACCAGAGAUUGAGGUCAAGAUUGAAGACUGUUAUGAACCCAAGACAGAAGACAGUGUUGAUUGGAAGGAGACCAGAGGAUAUUAUUCAGAUUUAACCUCUGUGGAAAACAUAACAAAUAAGAGACCAAAGACUGAUAAGAAAUCACACGGCAAGUGUGAUAAAACAUUCAGAAGUAAAAGGAAUCUUGCCACACAUACCAGAAUUCACACAGGAGAGAAACCCUUCAGCUGCUCUUUUUGUAGUAAAAGAUUUAACCAGAUAGGGCAUCUGACCUCACACAUGUCGGUUCAUACGCGGGAGAAACUGUACAGCUGCUCUUUAUGCAGUCAAAAAUUUAAACAUAAUACUAGUCUGACACGUCACAUUGCACAACACAGGGGAUAAUCUGUUUAGCUGCUCUGUUUGCAAUGAAAUAUUUAACCGAAAGGCCAAUUUAACACGUCACAUGGCCAAUCACAGUGUAGAGAAACCAUUUAGCUGCUCUGAUUGUGAUCAAAUUUUUUCUUGGUCUCAUCAGUUAAAAAAACACAAAUGUUUUGGAAGUCAGAAUGCAGAGCUUCAUCAAAA
Long non-coding RNA from Labrus bergylta (ballan wrasse), 1538 nucleotides. RefSeq lists it as uncharacterized. Lineage: Eukaryota; Metazoa; Chordata; Actinopteri; Labriformes; Labridae. The record is from RefSeq and is a predicted model, not a curated record.